Perca flavescens (yellow perch) is the source of this 1909-nucleotide long non-coding RNA. RefSeq lists it as uncharacterized. The record is from RefSeq and is a predicted model, not a curated record. The transcript has 2 exons. Lineage: Eukaryota; Metazoa; Chordata; Actinopteri; Perciformes; Percidae.
UUCCCUUUCUCGCGUCCCGCCCACAGAAUAUUCGAGCCGAGGAGUCGAGGAAGAGCCCAGAGGAGAGAGGAGUCUAGGCAACAGCUCAGUAUUGAUCAGUAUUUAUACCACAUAUGAGUCUCUCGAUAUCACAGUCUUGGUUACCCUCUACAGUCACAAACUUUUACAUCAGUCUGUAUUGUUUUAUAGCAAAAUUACUUAAUCAGAUAAGAUGUUCAAAAACGUAAACGUGCAUGGUUUGAAAUAAAACAAAUUUUAUUUGAAUAUUUGUUUGCAAAAGUUAAAAUGAAGCAAUGCCCUCUGGGAAUUUCAAGACAGAAUCGAGUAAAACCGCGUCUGUGUCUGUCUGCGUCAGCGUGGUUGUUAGAAGUUGAAAUUUGGAAGUUGGAAGCUAUGGUUGGAAGUUGGAAGCUAUACCGUUGACAAAAAAAUGUAUCAAGGCAUCAAGCGACACAAUGGGGAGGCAGUGGGGGCAGAGAAAAAGAGAGAGAAAUAUAAGAGAGCACUGUUGGCUGACGGUGAAAAAUGCUGCAAACUGACUGAUUUGUUUUUUAAAAUCAAGUGCAGCUUCAGCUAGCAUUAGUGCUAAUACUGCUAGCAUGUUAGCGACACAUCUGAGCCAGCACACCAGGGAGAAAGACAGGACAGUGAGGAAUAUGAGGAAGAGGAAGAACAAAACGAGCAAGAGAUAGACAUAGAUAACGAAUCUAUGGAACUAACCAACACAGAACAACAAGCCUGCUGUGGGUCUGAAUGUGGAUUACCAGAAGCAACCGAGAUGGACACCAAUGCUGCAGGAGGGAGUGUAGCAACAAGCAGUUUGAAGACUUCGAAGAACAGCGGUGUCCGCCUGUGUACCGAUUGACGGACUGGCUACAUCAUGCCGCCAGAUCUCCACCAAAGCUGCGAGGCAUGCCUCGGCCCCGUUCGCUGGGCUGGCACCCCGCUGGCCGCCAGCAUUUCUUCGGAGGAACAAAAGUGGCAGACGCUGGCAGCCGGGCGGACAGUCAGGUAAGGUAAGUAUACCACCGGUGGCGACACCCUGAAAUCCUGGAAGAGGCUCUCUUCGAAGCAAUAGUCCGCUGACCUGGAUCCCCCCGGGGAUGGUUCUAUAGCCGGCACCAGCUCUCCCUCCUCUGAACAGGAACUCGAAACAGAAGAGGAUUACGGAGCCCCGACACUGCGGCUGUCUCUGUCCCAGAAGGGGAGCACCGCAUCAGCGGCUUUCUCCUCCGCAUCAGGCGGGAUCCCUGUGUGUGUUUGGACCGCACCUUGGACAGCCACGAGCUAUAGGUAGUGGAGGGAAAGCGGAAACACACCCUGCACCCACCUGAUCCAAUCCACCCCUGAGCCGACUCGCAAACAGCGUUCCCCUCACACACACACAGAUAAGCUCGCCACUACGUUCACAUGCAGUAACACAUGCAAAGCCCAGCCACACAACCUUUAGAUUCUGAAAUAAUCCUGUUAAAUUGCUCGUUUCUCGAGCGAUCUUACAAAUGAAACUGUCUGUCUGACAGCAGCUCUGAUAUGUUCACCUUUUAUAGAACGUUAAUAAUAUUUUCCUCGUUGAUUGUAUAUUAUUUCACCCACCCACUAUUAAUCAGAAUAAUAAUUUGUAAGAUCUGAUGGCCCAAAUCGUAACAUUAACCACGGAGCCGCGGAUAUUAUCGCUCUCUCUCUCCCCUUUUCUCUCUCUCACUCUCUCUCCUCCUCUUGCUCUGGCACGCCUAUAUGUUUACAUGCUGCGGGUGAAAAGUCAUCUGCGAGGAUACAUCAGUGUAUCGAUUUUAAAUCCUCGGAGGAGCCUCCUUGAUGCUCGAUGCGCGAUCCUCACUCCUAGAUGUGUAUUUUAUGAAUUGGGACGUCCCUCAACAUGGCACACUGAGAAUGAUUUCCGGGUCACAAG